RNAcentral lists this ribosomal RNA (253 nucleotides) under uncultured bacterium. RNAcentral describes it as "partial 16S ribosomal RNA". It matches the Rfam family "Archaeal small subunit ribosomal RNA", at positions 474 to 727 of the family's 1478-position model. The record is from RNAcentral.
UACCCGCAGCACAAGUGGUGGUCAUUAUUAUUGGGCCUAAAGCGUCCGUAGCUGGCUUGUUAGAUGCCUGGGUAAAUCGAUGCGCUCAACGUAUCGAAUUCCGGGUAGACCGGCAAGCUCGAGACCGGGAGAGGUGUAGGCUACUCGAGGGGUAGGGGUAAAAUCCUAUAAUCCUUCGGGGAGGACCAGUGGCGAAGGCGCUACACUAGAACGGCUCUGACAGUGAGGGACGAAGCCCUGGGGCGCAAACCGG